GAUCAUGGCUCAGGAUGAACGCUAGCUACAGGCUUAACACAUGCAAGUCGAGGGGCAGCAUGAACUUAGCUUGCUAAGUUUGAUGGCGACCGGCGCACGGGUGAGUAACACGUAUCCAACUGCCGAUGACUCGGGGAUAGCCUUUCGAAAGAAAGAUUAAUACCCGAUGGCAUAGUUCUUCCGCAUGGUGGAACUAUUAAGGAAUUUCGGUCAUCGAUGGGGAUGCGUUCCAUUAGG
RNAcentral lists this ribosomal RNA (237 nucleotides) under uncultured bacterium. RNAcentral's name for it is "partial 16S ribosomal RNA". It matches the Rfam family "Bacterial small subunit ribosomal RNA", at positions 15 to 245 of the family's 1533-position model. The record is from RNAcentral.